GGUUGAUCCUGCCAGUAGUCAUAUGCUUGUCUCAAAGAUUAAGCCAUGCAUGUCUAAGUACACACUUUGGUAAAGUGAAACCGCGAAUGGCUCAUUAAAUCAGCUACAAUUUAUUAGAUCGUACACUGUUACUUGGAUAACUGUGGGAAUUCUAGAGCUAAUACAUGCCGAGAGUCUCUGCUCUUCGGGGCAGAGCGCAGUUAUUAGACCAAAACCAGCCGUAUUCUUCGGGGUACGCUCUUUUGGUGACUCUGGAUAACCUUCAGCCGAUCGCAUGGCCUCGUGCCGGCGACGUAUCUUUCAAGUGUCUGCCCUAUCAACUUUCGAUGGUACGUGAUAUGCCUACCAUGGUGAUAACGGGUAACGGGGAAUCAGGGUUCGAUUCCGGAGAGGGAGCCUGAGAAAUGGCUACCACAUCCAAGGAUGGCAGCAGGCGCGCAAAUUACCCACUCCCAGCUUGGGGAGGUAGUGACGAAAAAUAACAAUGCGGGACUCUAAGAGGCCCCGUAAUUGGAAUGAGUACACCUUAAAUCGUUUAACGAGUAUCAAUUGGAGGGCAAGUCUGGUGCCAGCAGCCGCGGUAAUUCCAGCUCCAAUAGCGUAUAUUAAAGUUGCUGCAGUUAAAAAGCUCGUAGUUGGAUCUGGGGCUUGAGGUCGCUGUCUAUCGUUUCGGCGAUGACGGUGAUGCUCAGCUCUGCUUGCCGGUGACUGUUGCGGUGUUCUUCACUGAGCGCUGUAGCAGCACGGCACGUUUACUUUGAAAAAAUUAGAGUGCUCAAAGCGUGCUUGUCGCUUGAAUAAUGUUGCAUGGAAUAAUGGAAUAGGACCUCGGUUCUAUUUUGUUGGUUUUCGGAGCUUGAGGUAAUGAUUAAGAGGGACGAACGGGGGCAUUCGUAUUGCGGUGUUAGAGGUGAAAUUCUUGGAUCGCCGCAAGACGGACUACUGCGAAAGCAUUUGCCAAGAACGCUUUCAUUAAUUAAGAACGAAAGUCAGAGGUUCGAAGACGAUCAGACACCGUCCUAGUUCUGACCAUAAACGAUGCCGACCAGCGAUCCGUAGUGGUUGCUUUAUGGACCCUACGGGCAGCCUCCGGGAAACCAAAGUAUUUGGGUUCCGGGGGAAGUAUGGUUGCAAAGCUGAAACUUAAAGGAAUUGACGGAAGGGCACACCAGGAGUGGAGCCUGCGGCUUAAUUUGACUCAACACGGGAAAACUCACCCGGUCCGGACACCGUAAGGAUUGACAGACUGAUAGCUCUUUCUUGAUUCGGUGGAUGGUGGUGCAUGGCCGUUCUUAGUUGGUGGAGUGAUUUGUCU
Molecule: ribosomal RNA, 1315 nt
Filed under: metagenome
Description: SSU rRNA
Rfam family: Eukaryotic small subunit ribosomal RNA
Source: RNAcentral